GACGAACGCUGGCGGCGUGCUUCACACAUGCAAGUCGAACGGAAAGGCCCUGCUUUUGUGGGGUGCUCGAGUGGCGAACGGGUGAGUAACACGUGAGUAACCUGCCCUUGACUUUGGGAUAACUUCAGGAAACUGGGGCUAAUACCGGAUAGGAGCUCCUGCUGCAUGGUGGGGGUUGGAAAGUUUCGGCGGUUGGGGAUGGACUCGCGGCUUAUCAGCUUGUUGGUGGGGUAGUGGCUUACCAAGGCUUUGACGGGUAGCCGGCCUGAGAGGGUGACCGGCCACAUUGGGACUGAGAUACGGCCCAGACUCCUACGGGAGGCAGCAGGGGGGAAUAUUGCACAAUGGGCGGAAGCCUGAUGCAGCAACGCCGCGUGCGGGAUGACGGCCUUCGGGUUGUAAACCGCUUUCGCCUGUGACGAAGCGUGAGUGACGGUAAUGGGUAAAGAAGCACCGGCUAACUACGUG
Molecule: ribosomal RNA, 468 nt
Filed under: uncultured bacterium
Lineage: Bacteria
Description: partial 16S ribosomal RNA
Rfam family: Bacterial small subunit ribosomal RNA
Source: RNAcentral